CAUGUAUUCCCUCCGUCUUAAAUUCUUGUCUUAGAUUUGUCUAGAUAUAAAUGUAUCUAGUCAUGUUUUAGUUUUUUAAUAUAUUCAUUUGUAGACAAAUCUAAGACAAGAAUUUUAAAACAGACGAAGUAUGUG
Molecule: microRNA precursor, 135 nt
Filed under: Hordeum vulgare
Lineage: Eukaryota; Viridiplantae; Streptophyta; Magnoliopsida; Poales; Poaceae
Description: microRNA MIR1122
Rfam family: MIR1120/MIR1122 microRNA precursor family
Source: RNAcentral